CGCUAGUUUUGCUGGAGGCAAUGUUGGGAUACUACCCUUGUUUGAAGGAUGCUCUAACCUCGACCUGUAAGCCAGGCCAGGGACAGUGUCAGGUGGGCAGUUUGACUGGGGCGGUCGCCUCCUAAAGUGUAACGGAGGCGCUCAAAGGUUCCCUCAGAAUGGUUGGAAAUCAUUCGCAGAGUGUAAAGGUAUAAGGGAGCUUGACUGCGAGAGAAACAGCUCGAGCAGGUAGGAAACUAGGACUUAGUGAUCUGGUGGUACCGCAUGGAAGGGCCAUCACUCAACGGAUAAAAGCUACCCUGGGGAUAACAGGCUUAUCUCCCCCAAGAGUUCACAUCGACGGGGAGGUUUGGCACCUCGAUGUCGGCUCGUCGCAUCCUGGG
This 383-nucleotide ribosomal RNA is filed under the name Lactobacillus helveticus. RNAcentral describes it as "bacterial LSU rRNA". It matches the Rfam family "Bacterial large subunit ribosomal RNA", at positions 2169 to 2551 of the family's 2925-position model. The record is from RNAcentral. Lineage: Bacteria; Bacillati; Bacillota; Bacilli; Lactobacillales; Lactobacillaceae.